GGGUGCGUAACGCGUAUGCAACUUGCCCUUAUCAGGAGGAUAGCCCGGGGAAACUCGGAUUAAUACUCCAUAAGAUUUUGAUUGGCAUCGAUUAAAAUUGAAAGAUUUAUUGGAUAAGGAUAGGCAUGCGUCAGAUUAGUUAGUUGGUAGUGUAACGGACUACCAAGGCGAUGAUCUGUAGGGGGCCUGAGAGGGUGAACCCCCACACUGGUACUGAGACACGGACCAGACUCCUACGGGAGGCAGCAGUGAGGAAUAUUGGACAAUGGAGGGAACUCUGAUCCAGCCAUCCCGCGUGCAGGAAGACGGCCUUUUGGGUGGUAAACUGCUUUUGUAUGGGGAUAAAUCUACCUACGUGUAGGUAGUUGAAGGUACCAUACGAAUAAGCAUCGGCUAACUCCGUGCCAGCAGCCGCGGUAAUACGGAGGAUGCAAGCGUUAUCCGGAUUCAUUGGGUUUAAAGGGUCCGUAGGCGGGCUGAUAAGUCAGUGGUGAAAUUUUGUCGCUCAACGAUAAAACUGCCAUUGAUACUGUUAGUCUUGAGUGAUAUUGAAGUAGCUGGAAUGUGUAGUGUAGCGGUGAAAUGCAUAGAUAUUACACAGAACACCGAUUGCGAAGGCAGGUUACUAAGUAUUAACUGACGCUGAAGGACGAAAGCGUGGGGAGCGAACAGGAUUAGAUACCCUGGUAGUCCACGCAGUAAACGAUGCUAACU
This 714-nucleotide ribosomal RNA is filed under the name Ornithobacterium rhinotracheale. RNAcentral describes it as "bacterial SSU rRNA". It matches the Rfam family "Bacterial small subunit ribosomal RNA", at positions 104 to 817 of the family's 1533-position model. Lineage: Bacteria; Pseudomonadati; Bacteroidota; Flavobacteriia; Flavobacteriales; Weeksellaceae. The record is from RNAcentral.